Non-coding RNA from Xyrichtys novacula (pearly razorfish), 6611 nucleotides. Lineage: Eukaryota; Metazoa; Chordata; Actinopteri; Labriformes; Labridae. The record is from the annotation of a GenBank genome assembly.
GUUGGAGUUUGAGAGUCUACAGUUCACAUUGCUGGAUUCCUGGAUUGUAGAAAAACUGGAUUUCCCUCCCUCGUAUUUCUUCAGUGGGAGAAAACUUAAAACUGUCAAGUCCUUUCUGCAAUGUCUGGUUUCAUACUGCCAGACUCACCUCCAGCCUCAUUUUGAAGUAGUACAGUUUAAGAAACACAAGCUGGUGGAGCCCUCCAAGAAGCUGCAAGAAAACAUCUGCUCUCGUCACGAUGAGGUGAUGAAGACGUUCUGCCGCACUGAUCAGCAGUCUAUCUGUCAUCUCUGCUGUUUGGACCAACACAAAGGUCACGACACAGCCUCAGCUGCAGCAGAAAGGACUGACAUGCAGAAAAAGCUGGAGGAGAGUCAAGAAAACGUCCAGCAGAGAAUCCAGGACAGAGAGGAAGAUCUGAAGCUGCUCCAACAGGAGAUGGAGGCUAUCAACGGCUCUGCUGAUAAAGCAGUGGAGCACAACCAGGAGAUCUUCAGCCAGCUGAUCAGUCUCAUGCAUAAACACAGCUCUGACUUGGAGCAGCCGGUCAGAUCCCAGCAGGAAUGUGAAGUGAGUCAAGUCAAAGAGCUUUAGGAGAAGGUGGAGCAGGAGAUCACUGAGCUGAAGAGGAAAGACGCUGAUCUGCAGAAGCUCUCACUCAGAGGACCAAAACCAGUUUCUGCACAGCUACCCCUCACUGUUAGGACCAGGUCAACCUGCAGACUCACCCAGAAUUAAUAUCCAACCUCUGAGAUACUUUGAGCUCUGACACAGCUACUGUCACCUCCUUAGAGAUAAACUCCAGGAUCUUCUGACAGAGAUGAGGACAAACGUCUCACAGGCACUGACUGAAGUGGAUGUUUCACUGUUGGAACCAGAACCCAAGACCAGAGCUGGUCUCUUAAGAUAUACUCAAAGAAUCACACUGGAUCCAAACACAGCACACAGAGAGCUGUUAUUAUCUGAUAGAAACAGAAGAGCAACACGGACAGGACAACCACAGUCUUAUCCUGAUCAUCCAGACAGAUUCACCAUCAUCAAACCUUUCCUAAGUUCCUUCCCUAGUGGAGCAUCAACUAUCUCUGGCUCCUUUAAAGCAGAUUGUAAGAUAUUACACACAUAAGACACAUUAGGUAACCAUGCCAGACCGGCCAAAACACCUUGAAUAAGUUUGGUUAUCAAGUAAUUGUCAAAGCAGUGGUUGGGGUGCUUUGCAAAGCCUUCCUUAGCUCAGGCACAUUGAUAGGGGUUGAUGGUUUUAUUGUUUCUUUUCCUUUCUCACAGGGCGGGAUCGUCUUGGGCAUACAGAUCUGGGGUGGCUGUCCCCACAAAAGCUGCAAGUAUGGAUAUAUUUACAAUUAGUAUACUUGCACACAUUUUCAUUGAAAUUAAUACAGAUAGGGGUUAUGUUGGGUGUCACCUUGGUCCCGGUUCCAAGGCUUUUAGGUGGAUUUACAAUAGCCACGUAUUUUGGGCAUAAAUUAGAGGAGUGAGAGAAAGAGUUGCACAUAAGGCAGGAAAGAGCCUACAACGCCUGCUGAUCAGGGCCAGAUCUACGAUGGACCAGUCCACUCUUUGGUUAAAUCUCUGGAUAAACAUACAGCCGUAACAGAAAAAGAUUUAUUAUAUUCGUAAAAUAGAGUUCCACCAGAAGUCAUGGCGAGAUCAGCGAUGAUGGGGAGGUAUGUGUCCAGUUCAACUCUACGGGAUGGAUACUUCACAGAUGACGUCCCCAUAAAUGCUAAAAGCCACUGUGAAUUCUGCAAAGGACUUGAAGAGCCUGGAAUCGCUAUCUUUCAGCAGAACAGAAAUGUCUCCACACGUUUCAACCACACGUUUAUCACUGACAUCGGAGAACAGCAGGAUCUUAACUAAAUUAAUGUCAUUACCUGCCAGGAUCUGGCUCCUGAGAUUAGGAGAAAAUGCAGCUGCAGGAGUGUAGAAGGGGAUGCCCGUGGGGAUGGGAACUGCGCUACCCAGGGUUCUUUGCGGGACAGUAACAUUGUCGUAAGAGGCCAGGAUGACGUCUUUGAGCAGCGAUGAUGGGCCUGCGGUGGGGGAGGUGGUGCGAGCGCGGUCUUGGAAAGUAGGCCUUGUGGAUUGAAACAGCGUUGAAGUUGGAGCAUUAGCCUCCCGGGUCUUGAUCCUGGUGUUCAUAGAAAAGAGGGAGGACUGGAUGGAGGAAAGAGCCGACAUGAUGUCAGCAUUCGUUGGAGCUGCGUGCCUGUUGCAUGGCUGACCGCCAGGGCUGGAACUCUCGUCCUCUUGUGCGUCUGGGCAGCGCCGACUGCCAAGGCUGUACCAGAAUUGCAUCUCAUCAUGCUUUGGAGGGUUUUUCACCAUAAAAGUGGAAAAAAAAGUUGUUGCAACUUCAAAGUUUAGUAUAAAUAGUUUAUACUGAACCAAAACUUUUGCAGAAAUUAAUAGUUAACUUUGUAAAUAGAGUGGGGGUGGCAGAAAGACAAUACCUACCAAAAGGACUGCCUUUCUGCUCACCUACAAACAUGGGCACCAUUGUAAUCUCACAGGUGGGGCAGUGGAGGGCUCUGAACUGAUUUUCCAUCUUUGAUAGCGCAGCACAAAAGCAGCAUUGUUCACCAUGGGCAGGCACUCUCCAUCUCAGGAGGAUAAAAGGCACAGGGAAUAAUUGCUUACCCUCACACUGUGUGUGAAGUGUGUCUCCCAUCAGCAGCCUGGCAUGAUGAUGCCGAUAGCAUGAGACUCUGCCAUCCCUCCACACCUCUUUUAACACGUACAACACACCGCUGUCCGUGUUCACCACUGUGACAACCAACCCUGGAGGGGGGCCAUAGAAAAUAGCACCCCCUGAUGUAGAUCUGUGCACAUGCUGUGAAAAAGAGCCCACUCAAGGAGCAGGGGUACACUCAUUAAGUCAACAAUCACACAGGGGUACACACACACAGACAGGUUUGAUCCUCCUGUGCUGCUGUAAAAUGCAAACACACAGUUCACACAAACCGAUCUGCAUCUCCAGUGGGUCUCCCUGUUGUGUAUCUGCUAUCUGCAAAUAUGCUGAUGUUGUCACUGUUGCGGCUCACACACACGCAUGCACACAUCAUGUGUUCAUAGGGUAAAUAUGUUUGGAGCCAUCACGCCUGAUCAUCUAAUCAUGACUGGACCCCCAGGGACCGCAGCAUCCCUGCCUGUUCCCCCCUACCGUAAAUGCUGAUAACACAAUUCUCCCACAAUGCCCUUCAACACAGAUUCAUAUCUCAGAAGGGGGGUGGAAGGCUGCGGAGACUGCUUGGAAGAAGAAGUGCUGCUUUGCCAAUUUCUCUUUCUUUCUUCCUUUUUUUGAGGGAGAUAAUUGGUGUGUUUUGAGUUUUUAUCCACCCGCUUCCAUUAUUUCUUCUCUAACUUGUGAUUGUUCAGCACCAACAAUUUUCUUGUGGUUACGUGUCUUAUUCUGAUCACUCAUAGCUCCUCUUAGAAUUUCACUCUGACAAACUUUUAAUGUCCUGCUGGCAGAGGAGCUUGUUGACUCAGAGCUACUGUCUAAUGAGGCCUGAUCAGAAGAGGGGGUUUUGAGUACAACAGAAGGUCUAUUUGAGCCAAAACAUGCACAAGACUUGAACCAAGGAGACCUGGGGUGCACAGUAGAUCCUUAGCUGGGGUAACAUGAUAGUGGAAAUGUUAAUUUGCAUGCAGGAAGUGAUGGUUUUGUUCUGGGAGAUUUGUGCUCUUCCACAUGCAUAGGUAGAAAGACAAUCCUCAGCAAAGCAGAGCAAAUCUCCUGUAGAUUAAAAGCUAAGGCAGUGGAGAGCAGGAGUAUAGAUCCCCAGUUAUAAAACAGUGACAAUACAUGCAGUAUGAUGCUGGUAAACUCACGCACAGCAUGAAAGGGAGGAGCUGGGGUUAGUGCUGGACAAUUGAUUGAAUUUUAAUCAUGAUUUUGAUUUUGGCUUCUCACUACCAUAAAAAAAACAUUACAAUCGACGAAAACAAUUAAUGCGGCGCCGCGUGUAUGUAAGUUCCUGUGCUGGAAAAACACCUUGAAUGCGCCCCUGUUAUGUGCAGCUGCAACAAGUGUACGACGUGUGUGUGUGUCACUAAUAUGUGUGUCAAUAAUACGAGCGAGCGAUUGAAUUUGCAGAAAGGCGGCACUUGGUUGAGAAGAAAAGUAGGACAACUUCAGUUAUCUGGAAACACUUUGGCUUCAAUUUGACGGACAUUGAGCAAGAGGAAAUAGUUUUUGGCAUUUUGCAAGUUUUGCAGGAGUGCAUGUAGAUUGGGUAUUUAUUCUUAAUUAUUGUUUUUAUUGCUAUCAUUAUCUAAAUUGAAUAUUGUUAUUUUUAUUUUUUUUACUUUUUAUUUCUGUCCUUUUGAUGUACACUCACCAGCCACUUUAUUAGGUACACCUGUCCAACUGCUCGUUAACACUUAAUUUCUAAUCAGCCAAUCACAUGGCGGCAACUUAGUGCAUUUAGGCAUGUAGACAUGGUCAAGACAAUCUCCUGCAGUUCAAACCGAGCAUCAGUAUGGGGAAGAAAGGUGAUUUGAGUGACUUUGAACGUGGCAUGGUUGUUGGUGCCAGAAGGGCUGGUCUGAGUAUUUCAGAAACUGCUGAUCUACUGGGAUUUUCACGCACAACCAUCUCUAGGGUUUACAGAGAAUGGUCCGAAAAAGAAAAAAUAUCCAGUGAGCGGCAGUUCUGUGGGCGGAAAUGCCUUGUUGAUGCCAGAGGUCAGAGGAGAAUGGCCAGACUGGUUCGAGCUGAUAGAAAGGCAACAGUGACUCAAAUAACCACCUGUUACAACCAAGGUAGGCAGAAGAGCAUCUCUGAACGCACAGUACGUUGAACUUUGAGGCAGAUGGGCUACAGCAGCAGAAGACCACGCCGGGUGCCACUCCUUUCAGCUAAGAACAGGAAACUGAGGCUACAAUUUGCACAAGCUCAUCGAAAUUGGACAAUAGAAGAUUGGAAAAACGUUGCCUGGUCUGAUGAGUCUCGAUUUCUGCUGCGACAUUCGGAUGGUAGGGUCAGAAUUUGGCGUCAACAACAUGAAAGCAUGGAUCCAUCCUGCCUUGUAUCAACGGUUCAGGCUGGUGGUGGUGGUGUCAUGGUGUGGGGAAUAUUUUCUUAGCACUCUUUGGGCCCCUUGGUACCAAUUGAGCAUCGUUGCAACACCACAGCCUACCUGAGUAUUGUUGCUGACCAUGUCCAUCCUUUUAUGACCACAAUGUACCCAACUUCUGAUGGCUACUUUCAGCAGGAUAAUGCGCCAUGUCAUAAACUCACUGUACUCAAAUGGCCUCCACAGUCACCAGAUCUCAAUCCAAUAGAGCAUCUUUGGGAUGUGGUGGAACGGGAGAUUCGCAUCAUGGAUGUGCAGCCGACAAAUCUGCGGCAACUGUGUGAUGCCAUCAUGUCAAUAUGGACCAAGCUCUCUGAGGAAUGCUUCCAGCACCUUGUUGAAUCUAUGCCACGAAGAAUUGAGGCAGUUCUGAAGGCAAAAGGGGGUCCAACCCGUUACUAGCAUGGUGUACCUAAUAAAGUGGUGAGUGUAUAUUUGAAGUUAAGUAUUGGUGGUUCAAUUAAUACUUAAGUUUUCAAAUCAAUGAAUAAUCGUGUUUUUUGAUCGUGAUUUCAAUAUCAGUCAAAAUAAGCAUGAUUAUUAUCUUUGCCAUAAUCGUCCAGCCCAACCUAGGGAGGAGGAGGGUAACCUGGCAGCUUCUGGAGGAAGCAGCAAGAGUACGCAUGAUGGAGAAGUCUGCCUGUUUUGACAUUCACCAAUUGGAGGUAACGUAGAAGGUUAGUGUCUGGGUUGUCAGCUGAUAUGAGUUGGCGUUCAGGUCAGUUGAUGACUCCUGGGCUAAGCUUGAUUUGUGGCCUGCCUGAAUUAACACUAUGUUCAUUGUAGCCUAAAGAAAGUGAGUUGUCAAAGUAAGUUCAUUACCAGCUUCUUGUUGCCCUGUAUCUCUAACUGGAGCUUAAGGUUUUGUCAGGCCAGCUUUACUCAAAGAAUGAUUUGGUUUGUUGAGCUUGCUUUGUAGUAGUAUUCUGGUGGAGGGGAGGGAUCUUAGCUUACCCUGUUAGAAUUACAUACUAUAGUUGUGGCAAAUAUUUAUGGUAUACGGCAAAACAAUGCACAGGAGACAGGAUGAGAUCUGAAGAGCAGCCUGAGCAUCUUUAUUGUAGAUUCAAUACAGAUGAUGAACAGAGUCUUGACCAAACCAAAGGAGAGUGGCCCCAGGCUUCUCUCGCUCACCCUUUAAUACUACUGAGUGCGUAUCUGAAUACAAUGAUUGUGUAUUGCUUGUGUACUAGAGUGCACCCCUUAUAUGUGUAUUGCAGUAAGAGAGCAUGCAUGAGUCUUCUGUAUGUGUGUGUGUGUGUGUGUGUGUGUGUGUGUGUGUGUGUGUGUGUGUGUGUGUGUGUGUGUGUGUGUGUGCUUUACCUGUUAUAUAUCUAUUCACCAGGAGGUCAUCCAAGGACACGUCUCGGUGUUCUGAAAUUCACCCAUUGUUUGGAUUAUUCUUGGACUUCGUAGAAACUAGCCUUAAGUGUUUUGGCAACCCUAUAAGUUAUGGUUCCCUUAACAUAGCCUGGGUUAUACAACCUCAGACUGCACAAUCAAGCCUAACCAAA